AGUGAACGCUGGCGGUAGGCCUAACACAUGCAAGUCGAACGGCAGCACAGUAAGAGCUUGCUCUUACGGGUGGCGAGUGGCGGACGGGUGAGGAAUACAUCGGAAUCUACUUUUUCGUGGGGGAUAACGUAGGGAAACUUCCGCUAAUACCGCAUACGACCUACGGGUGAAAGCAGGGGAUCUUCGGACCUUGCGCGAUUGAAUGAGCCGAUGUCGGAUUAGCUAGUUGGCGGGGUAAAGGCCCACCAAGGCGACGAUCCGUAGCUGGUCUGAGAGGAUGAUCAGCCACACUGGAACUGAGACACGGUCCAGACUCCUACGGGAGGCAGCAGUAGGGAAUAUUGGACAAUGGGCGCAAGCCUGAUCCAGCCAUACCGCGUGGGUGAAGAAGGCCUUCGGGUUGUAAAGCCCUUUUGUUGGGAAAGAAAAGCAGCAGGUUAAUACCCCGCUGUUCUGACGGUACCCAAAGAAUAAGCACCGGCUAACUUCGUG
This 492-nucleotide ribosomal RNA is filed under the name uncultured bacterium. RNAcentral describes it as "partial 16S ribosomal RNA". It matches the Rfam family "Bacterial small subunit ribosomal RNA", at positions 29 to 507 of the family's 1533-position model. The record is from RNAcentral.